AUACGGAGGGAGCAAGCGUUAUUCGGAAUCAUUGGGCGUAAAGGACGCGUAGGCGGGUUUGUAAGUCAGGUGUGAAAUCCUACAGCUCAACUGUAGAACUGCACUUGAAACUACAGACCUAGAGUAUGGAAGGGGCAGAUGGAAUUAGUGGUGUAGGGGUAAAAUCCGUAGAUAUCACUAGGAAUACCGAAAGCGAAGGCGAUCUGCUGGGACAUUACUGACGCUGAGGCGUGAAAGCGUGGGGAGCAAACAGGAUUAGAAACCCCAGUAGUCC
Molecule: ribosomal RNA, 274 nt
Filed under: uncultured bacterium
Lineage: Bacteria
Description: partial 16S ribosomal RNA
Rfam family: Bacterial small subunit ribosomal RNA
Source: RNAcentral